Molecule: small nuclear RNA, 112 nt
Filed under: Octodon degus (degu)
Lineage: Eukaryota; Metazoa; Chordata; Mammalia; Rodentia; Octodontidae
Source: RNAcentral
GCGUUAGUUCACUUUGGAACGCAUACAUUAAAACUGGAAUGAUAUAGACAAGAUUACCAUGAGGCCUGGACAGGAAUGACCCAAGCAUAUUUGUGCAAUGCCUCAGGUUUUC